Molecule: long non-coding RNA, 422 nt
Organism: Bufo bufo (common toad)
Lineage: Eukaryota; Metazoa; Chordata; Amphibia; Anura; Bufonidae
Exons: 3
Source: RefSeq, a predicted model, not a curated record
CCUGAUAUUUCGACCAUUAGUGCACAGGCCCUGGAGCUACAACGCUCGGUGUCUAGUGCUAUUAUUGAGGCAAUGGGAUCCAUGUCCUCUAUGAUCUCACAAACCAUCUCCCAGGCCUUGUCUGCCCAUGCCCCUGGCCCCUCUACUCAGUUGCCUGUACUCACUAGCCCGCAGCCUACCAUUGUACCUCCUGCCCAGGAGACUUUGACUGGUGUGAUCCAAGCCACCCAUGAUAGCGCGCUUAGAUCGCGCAAAAGAGCCUUACCGCGCCAGGCAGAAAGGGCGCGAACGUGGAAAUGUGCUAGAGCACAAACUACUGAUAUAGAUUCGGAUAUUGAAUCUGAUAUGGAGGCUUAUGCGGAGGCAAGCGACCACUCUGAUGGGGAGAUGGAGAUGGAAUCUGAGUUUCCAGGUACCACUGG